This 1068-nucleotide ribosomal RNA is filed under the name uncultured bacterium. RNAcentral describes it as "bacterial SSU rRNA". It matches the Rfam family "Bacterial small subunit ribosomal RNA", at positions 338 to 1397 of the family's 1533-position model. The record is from RNAcentral.
CCUACGGGAGGCAGCAGUGGGGAAUUUUGGACAAUGGGCGAAAGCCUGAUCCAGCCAUUCCGCGUGAGUGAAGAAGGCCUUCGGGUUGUAAAGCUCUUUCGCAAGGGAAGAAAACUUAGGCGCUAAUAUCGCUUGAGGUUGACGGUACCUUGAUAAGAAGCACCGGCUAACUACGUGCCAGCAGCCGCGGUAAUACGUAGGGUGCGAGCGUUAAUCGGAAUUACUGGGCGUAAAGCGUGCGCAGGCGGUUUUGCAAGUCAGAUGUGAAAUCCCCGAGCUCAACUUGGGAACUGCGUUUGAAACUACAAGACUAGAAUAUGUCAGAGGGGGGUAGAAUUCCACGUGUAGCAGUGAAAUGCGUAGAGAUGUGGAGGAAUACCAAUGGCGAAGGCAGCCCCCUGGGAUAAUAUUGACGCUCAUGCACGAAAGCGUGGGGAGCAAACAGGAUUAGAUACCCUGGUAGUCCACGCCCUAAACGAUGUCUACUAGUUGUUGGUGGGGUAAAAUCCAUGAGUAACGCAGCUAACGCGUGAAGUAGACCGCCUGGGGAGUACGGUCGCAAGAUUAAAACUCAAAUGAAUUGACGGGGGCCCGCACAAGCGGUGGAUUAUGUGGAUUAAUUCGAUGCAACGCGAAAAACCUUACCUGGCCUUGACAUGUAACGAACUUUCCAGAGAUGGAUUGGUGCUCGAAAGAGAACGUUAACACAGGUGCUGCAUGGCUGUCGUCGGCUCGUGUCGUGAGAUGUUGGGUUAAGUCCCGCAACGAGCGCAACCCUUGCCAUUAAUUGCCAUCAUUUAGUUGGGCACUUUAAUGGGACUGCCGGUGACAAACCGGAGGAAGGUGGGGAUGACGUCAAGUCCUCAUGGCCCUUAUGGCCAGGGCUUCACACGUAAUACAAUGGUCGGUACAGAGGGUUGCCAACCCGCGAGGGGGAGCCAAUCCCAGAAAGCCGAUCGUAGUCCGGAUUGUAGUCUGCAACUCGACUACAUGAAGUCGGAAUCGCUAGUAAUCGCGGAUCAGCAUGUCGCGGUGAAUACGUUCCCGGGCCUUGUACACACCGCCCGU